CCUAAUACAUGCAAGUAGAACGCUGAAGCUUGGUGCUUGCACCGAGCGGAUGAGUUGCGAACGGGUGAGUAACGCGUAUGUAACCUGCCUGGUAGCGGGGGAUAACUAUUGGAAACGAUAGCUAAUACCGCAUGAUAUUGAUUAUUGCAUGAUAGUCAAUUAAAAGGUGCAAUUGCAUCACUACCAGAUGGACCUGCGUUGUAUUAGCUAGUUGGUGAGGUAACGGCUCACCAAGGCAACGAUACAUAGCCGACCUGAGAGGGUGAUCGGCCACACUGGGACUGAGACACGGCCCAGACUCCUACGGGAGGCAGCAGUAGGGAAUCUUCGGCAAUGGACGGAAGUCUGACCGAGCAACGCCGCGUGAGUGAAGAAGGUUUUCGGAUCGUAAAGCUCUGUUGUAAGAGAAGAACGAGUGUGAGAGUGGAAAGUUCACACUGUGACGGUAUCUUACCAGAAAGGGACGGCUAACUACGUGCCAGCAGCCGCGGUAAUACGUAGGUCCCGAGCGUUGUCCGGAUUUAUUGGGCGUAAAGCGAGCGCAGGCGGUUAGAUAAGUCUGAAGUUAAAGGCUGUGGCUUAACCAUAGUACGCUUUGGAAACUGUUUAACUUGAGUGCAAGAGGGGAGAGUGGAAUUCCAUGUGUAGCGGUGAAAUGCGUAGAUAUAUGGAGGAACACCGGUGGCGAAAGCGGCUCUCUGGCUUGUAACUGACGCUG
RNAcentral lists this ribosomal RNA (718 nucleotides) under uncultured Bacilli bacterium. Its description in RNAcentral is "bacterial SSU rRNA". It matches the Rfam family "Bacterial small subunit ribosomal RNA", at positions 47 to 748 of the family's 1533-position model. Lineage: Bacteria; Bacillati; Bacillota; Bacilli. The record is from RNAcentral.